RNAcentral lists this small RNA (29 nucleotides) under Bombyx mori (domestic silkworm). RNAcentral describes it as "ovarian small RNA-23416". The record is from RNAcentral. Lineage: Eukaryota; Metazoa; Arthropoda; Insecta; Lepidoptera; Bombycidae.
UAUAUACCUAUUUUUCUUUUAGGGAGUAC